RNAcentral lists this transfer RNA (53 nucleotides) under Taron dubius. RNAcentral's name for it is "tRNA-Tyr". The record is from RNAcentral. Lineage: Eukaryota; Metazoa; Mollusca; Gastropoda; Neogastropoda; Fasciolariidae.
UUAACUUUGUUAAUAGAUCUACAGUCUAUCGCUUUAAACUCAGCCACCGAACA